UGAUCAAUGAGGUCUUAACGGAAAAUGAUCUCAGGAUUUCUCAUCUUCAUAUGAGGGACUGUUGCUCAUAGAAGCUAAUCACCUGCUGUACAGAAGCCAUGCAAACUAUGGAAAGGCCCACAUGGAGAGGAACUGAUGCCUUUAUCCCUCAGCACCAUCUGACAGACUCCACAUAAAACCAGCACCAAUUUGCCAGCCAUUAGGCUGGCAAUGAUUUCUUGGAUAUGAUACCAAAGGCACAGGCAACA
Molecule: long non-coding RNA, 248 nt
Organism: Eubalaena glacialis (North Atlantic right whale)
Lineage: Eukaryota; Metazoa; Chordata; Mammalia; Artiodactyla; Balaenidae
Exons: 3
Source: RefSeq, a predicted model, not a curated record